This 69-nucleotide transfer RNA is filed under the name Ictidomys tridecemlineatus (thirteen-lined ground squirrel). RNAcentral describes it as "Spermophilus tridecemlineatus (thirteen-lined ground squirrel) tRNA". It matches the Rfam family "tRNA". From Rfam's summary of the family: Transfer RNA (tRNA) molecules are approximately 80 nucleotides in length. Their secondary structure includes four short double-helical elements and three loops (D, anti-codon, and T loops). Further hydrogen bonds mediate the characteristic L-shaped molecular structure. tRNAs have two regions of fundamental functional importance: the anti-codon, which is responsible for specific mRNA codon recognition, and the 3' end, to which the tRNAs corresponding amino acid is attached (by aminoacyl-tRNA synthetases). tRNAs cope with the degeneracy of the genetic code in two manners: having more than one tRNA (with a specific anti-codon) for a particular amino acid; and 'wobble' base-pairing, i.e. permitting non-standard base-pairing at the 3rd anti-codon position. The record is from Rfam by way of RNAcentral. Lineage: Eukaryota; Metazoa; Chordata; Mammalia; Rodentia; Sciuridae.
GGGGUUGUGGCUCAGUGGUAGAGCAUUCACCUAGCAUGUGCGAGGCCCUGGGUUUGAUCCUCAGCACCA